UACAGAGGUCCCAAGCGUUGUUCGGAUUCAUUGGGCGUAAAGGGUGCGUAGGUGGCAUGGUAAGUUGAAGGUGAAAUCUCGGAGCUCAACUCCGAAACUGCCUUCAAUACUGCUGUGCUUGAGAGCUGUAGAGGAGAAUGGAAUUCACGGUGUAGCAGUGAAAUGCGUAGAUAUCGUGAGGAAGACCAGUGGCGAAGGCGAUUCUCUGGGCAGUUUCUGACACUGAGGCACGAAGGCUAGGGGAGCAAACGGG
Molecule: ribosomal RNA, 253 nt
Filed under: uncultured bacterium
Lineage: Bacteria
Description: partial 16S ribosomal RNA
Rfam family: Bacterial small subunit ribosomal RNA
Source: RNAcentral